CUGGAAUCCUGAAGAGAUUUAGGAGUGCUCGCAAGAGAACCGGAACACAGGUGCUGCAUGGCUGUCGUCAGCUCGUGUCGUGAGAUGUUGGGUUAAGUCCCGCAACGAGCGCAACCCUUGCCAUUAGUUGCUACAUUUAGUUGAGCACUCUAAUGGGACUGCCGGUGACGAACCGGAGGAAGGUGGGGAUGACGUCAAGUCCUCAUGGCCCUUAUGGGUAGGGCUUCACACGUCAUACAAUGGUCGGGACAGAGGGUUGCCAAGCCGCGAGGUGGAGCCAAUCUCAGAAACCCGAUCGUAGUCCGGAUCGCAGUCUGCAACUCGACUGCGUGAAGUCGGAAUCGCUAGUAAUCGCGGAUCAGCAUGUCGCGGUGAAUACGUUCCCGGGUCUUGUACACACCGCCCGUCACACCAUGGAGUGGGUUUCACCAGAAGUAGGUAGCCUAACCACAAGGAGGGCGCUUACCACGGUGAGAUUCAUGACUGGGGUGAAGUCGUAACAAGGUAAGCGUAGUGCU
RNAcentral lists this ribosomal RNA (518 nucleotides) under uncultured bacterium. RNAcentral describes it as "bacterial SSU rRNA". It matches the Rfam family "Bacterial small subunit ribosomal RNA", at positions 990 to 1509 of the family's 1533-position model. The record is from RNAcentral.